AUGCCAUAAUGAGGACAUUUUUGCAAUAGCUUAUUAAAUCGUUCCCAUGCAUCAUGUAAAGAUUCUUCGAUGAGUUGCUGAAAUGUAGUGAUUCAUUUCCAAGCUU
Gossypium arboreum is the source of this 106-nucleotide non-coding RNA. NCBI's taxonomy places the organism in Eukaryota, Viridiplantae, Streptophyta, Magnoliopsida, Malvales, Malvaceae. The record is from Rfam.